AGCUCGUCGAGCUGCGGGAAUCAACGAGCCGCCGCGAAGCAGAACGCCGUCCACGUCGAAGAGGAUGCCCGCCUGAUGGAGACAGACGAGGCAGAGAGACAGACAGAAUGCUGCCACCAAUCAACCAAUCAACCAAUCAGCAUGCCAGACUGAAACCACGUGAGGAGACAGUCAGACAACGAGGAAGCGGAACUGAAGAGGCCUGAAAGAGAGAGACGGAUAGACAGUGACACGGAGAGAGACAGUUCUGAGGCCUCCGUCACCAACAGAACAAUAACAUGUGUUUUCACUGUUAUCUGGUGAUGUCAUCAUGUGUCCCCAGAUGUUCUGUGUUAAAAAGUGUUAAUAACGUGUCCUUGGACAAACAUUCAAACCGAACACCAGAAGACUCUCUGUUCUCUUAAAAUCGGUGGAAUCAACAAAACACGACGAGAACAACAAACUGAGCUGAAGAAUGUUUUAAUAAGAAACAGGUAGAGUAAAAAAAAAAAAAAGAAGCCUAUAUUUACACCAACAGACAGACUGGUUUACAGAACAGACAGACUGGUUACAGUCCCAGCAGAGUUUUGGCCGCCUGACUCUGAGCCUGAAGAGUCUCACUGGCGUAACGCUGCAACAACUCCAUCUUCUUCCUCCUGACGAGAGCCUCCUCCACCUGAGGGACGGACAGAGCUGUGAGGACAUUUCUGCUCUGUGAGGACAUUGUGAGGACACUUCUGCUCUGUGAGGACAUUGUGAGGACACUUCUGCUCUGUGAGGACACUUCUGCAUUGCGAGGACAUUUCUGCUCUGUGAGGACACUUCUGCUCUGUGAGGACAUUGUGAGGACACUUCUGCUCUGUGAGGACAUUUCUGCUCUGUGAGGACAUUGUGAGGACACUUCUGCUCUGUGAGGACAUUGUGAGGACAUUUCUGCUCUGUGAGGACAUUGUGAGGACACUUCUGCUCUGUGAGGACAUUGUGAGGACAUUUCUGCUCUGUGAGGACAUUUCUGCACUGCGAGGACAUUUCUGCUCUGUGUGGACAAUAAUCCCAACAUCUUCUCUUCAGUGUGUUACUCAUAAUAUCUUCCCUCCAGGUAGUGACCAGACUCCUUGCUUAGAUUUGUAUCAGAACUGUAUUCACAGGAAUAAAGGAAGGCUCCAAGGAAUUGUGUAGGUUCGGUUAAAAGACAUCAAUCUCAAAGUUCGGAUUAUGGGGGUCAGGUCCUGGAUAUGCAUUAUGUGAACAAUGGU
Molecule: long non-coding RNA, 1235 nt
Organism: Cyclopterus lumpus (lumpfish)
Lineage: Eukaryota; Metazoa; Chordata; Actinopteri; Perciformes; Cyclopteridae
Exons: 2
Source: RefSeq, a predicted model, not a curated record